GACGAACGCUGGCGGCGUGCCUAACACAUGCAAGUCGAACGGGCCUGUCUUCUUUUUUGGGGGGUGGGUUGAGUGGCGAACGGGUGAGUAUCACGUGAGUAACCUGCCCUUCGGUCCUGGAUAACCGCUUGAAAGGGCGGCUAAUACGGGGUGGUCCGGUUGGUCCGCAUGGGCUGGUCGGGAUAGAUUCACUGUUUUUGGUGUUUCGGCGGGGGAUGGGCUCGCGGCCUAUCAGCUUGUUGGUGGGGUGAUGGCCUACCAAGGCGGUGACGGGUAGCCGGCCUGAGAGGGUGGGCGGCCACACUGGGACUGAGAUACGGCCCAGACUCCUGCGGGAGGCAGCAGUGGGGGGUAUUGCACAAUGGGCGGAAGCCUGAUGCAGCGACGUCGCGUGAGGGAUGGAGGCCUUCGGGUUGUGAACCUCUGUUUCCGGUGGUGAAGGCCCUGUCCGUGUGGUGGGGUUGACGGUAGCCGGGGAUGAAGCGCCGGCUAACUACGUG
This 500-nucleotide ribosomal RNA is filed under the name uncultured bacterium. Its description in RNAcentral is "partial 16S ribosomal RNA". It matches the Rfam family "Bacterial small subunit ribosomal RNA", at positions 28 to 507 of the family's 1533-position model. The record is from RNAcentral.